GUGGCGGACGGGUGAGGAAUGCGUCGGAAUCUGCCUUUUCGUGGGGGAUAACGUAGGGAAACUUACGCUAAUACCGCAUGCGACCCUGUCCCGGGAGGGGCUGGGUGAAAGCGGGGGACCUUCGGGCCUCGCGCGGAAAGAUGAGCCGACGCCGGAUUAGCUAGUUGGCGGGGUAACGGCCCACCAAGGCGACGAUCCGUAGCUGGUCUGAGAGGAUGAUCAGCCACACUGGAACUGAGACACGGUCCAGACUCCUACGGGAGGCAGCAGUGGGGAAUAUUGGACAAUGGGCGCAAGCCUGAUCCAGCCAUGCCGCGUGAGUGAAGAAGGCCUUCGGGUUGUAAAGCUCUUUUGUUGGGAAAGAAAAGCUUCCGGUUAAUAACCGGGGGUUAUGACGGUACCCAAAGAAUAAGCACCGGCUAACUUCGUGCCAGCAGCCGCGGUAAUACGAAGGGUGCAAGCGUUACUCGGAAUUACUGGGCGUAAAGCGUGCGUAGGUGGUGGUUUAAGUCUGAUGUGAAAGCCCUGGGCUCAACCUGGGAAUGGCAUUGGAAACUGGAUCACUGGAGUGCGGUAGAGGAUGGCGGAAUUCCCGGUGUAGCAGUGAAAUGCGUAGAGAUCGGGAGGAACAUCCGUGGCGAAGCGGCCAUCUGGACAGCACUGACACUGAGCACGAAAGCGUGGGAGCAACAGAUAGAUACCCUGGUAGUCACGCCCUAACGAUGCGAACUGGAUGUGGGGCA
RNAcentral lists this ribosomal RNA (743 nucleotides) under uncultured bacterium. RNAcentral describes it as "bacterial SSU rRNA". It matches the Rfam family "Bacterial small subunit ribosomal RNA", at positions 95 to 829 of the family's 1533-position model. The record is from RNAcentral.